AUUGAACGCUGGCGGCAGGCUUAACACAUGCAAGUCGAGCGGAGAUGAGGUGCUUGCACCUUAUCUUAGCGGCGGACGGGUGAGUAAUGCUUAGGAAUCUGCCUAUUAGUGGGGGACAACAUUCCGAAAGGAAUGCUAAUACCGCAUACGUCCUACGGGAGAAAGCAGGGGAUCUUCGGACCUUGCGCUAAUAGAUGAGCCUAAGUCGGAUUAGCUAGUUGGUGGGGUAAAGGCCUACCAAGGCGACGAUCUGUAGCGGGUCUGAGAGGAUGAUCCGCCACACUGGGCCUGAGACACCGCCCAGACGCCUAAGGGAUGCAGCAGUGGGGAAUAUUGGACAAUGGGGAAAACCCUGAUCCAGCCAUGCCGCGUGUGUGAAGAAGGCCUUAUGGUUGUAAAGCACUUUAAGCGAGGAGGAGGCUACUGAGACUAAUACUCUUGGAUAGUGGACGUUACUCGCAGAAUAAGCACCGGCUAACUCUGUGCCAGCAGCCGCAGUAA
RNAcentral lists this ribosomal RNA (501 nucleotides) under uncultured bacterium. Its description in RNAcentral is "partial 16S ribosomal RNA". It matches the Rfam family "Bacterial small subunit ribosomal RNA", at positions 30 to 523 of the family's 1533-position model. The record is from RNAcentral.